Molecule: long non-coding RNA, 782 nt
Organism: Triticum dicoccoides
Lineage: Eukaryota; Viridiplantae; Streptophyta; Magnoliopsida; Poales; Poaceae
Exons: 2
Source: RefSeq, a predicted model, not a curated record
UACACCUCCUGUGACGCCGCUGCUCCCACCGCUCCUCCUCUUAUUACUCGGCUGUCAUUUGGUGUGCCACCACCGUGAGCGUUGCCGUGGAGCCGAAGCGGCCACCAGCAGAUCAGCAGCCGUGCCUGCUACUUCAGAGGUCCUCACUUUUUUGCUGCAAUCGGUUUGUGGGAAGCUGCAACCGGCCGUCUAGGAGCUGCGACCGGUGACGGCCACCUGCGGGAUGAGGCAGCGCUGGAAACGGGGACAUCGGGGAUGCUGAAACCCGUGGUGUUUUUUGCUGCUACCAGCUGUAAUUUUUGCUGGAACUGGCUCGGCGAAGAUUAGCUGCGGGCGGGGGUGGCCGGCAAGCACGGACGGCGCGGGGGUGGCCGGCAAGCAUGGGCGCGAGCGCGGGGGUGGCUGGCGAACACGGGCACGAGCACGGACAGCGCGAGUGUGGCCGGCGAGCAUGGGCGCGAGCACGAACGGCGCGAGGGUGGGCGAGCACAGGCGCGGAUGCGGACGGCGCGAGGAUGGCCGGGGAGCACGGGUCCGAGCGCGGGCGGUGCAGGGUGGCCGGCAAGCAUGGAUUGCGCGAGACAGGCGGCGAGCAUGGAGAUCUCCCUUUUUUUUUCUUUUUUCUUCACGCGUGUGUGGAAGGGAGAAGACGACUCAAUCGCGCUAUCCAGACCGUUUAUUUGUACGGGAUCCAACGCCUGGCAGCGGACCGGCCGAAACUUCGGCCGGUGUGCCGGCGCCUAGCGUCGCCCAAAAAUAAAUGUUGAUAUGCUUAUUGAACC